AGAGAGCUCAGCUGAAAGGAGUUUGGGUUCCUGACAUUGUGGUGCCCUAUACCAGCCCUUGCUCCUUUAGGGUUUCAUUGUUAUUUGGUGGUUAUCCUAAAUCUCCUGCUUUCAUCAGAUGUCUGAGAUGGCAAAAUUUGGAAGGAUCAAGAGAACAGAGAGUUAAUCCUUCCUAAUGGGAAAGGUGGACAAUGCCAAGGUUAAAAUACCACAUGCAUCUUUGAGUUACUACUAUACCCUCCCGAAUGGAAAUGCUUCAACUUUAAUCUGAGGCUAGGCGCAGUGGCUCACGCCUGUAAUCCCAGCACUCUGGGAGGCCAAGGCAGGCGGAUCACGAGGUCAGGAGAUCGAGACUAUCCUGGCUAACACAGUGAAAUCCUGUCUCUACUAAAAAUACAAAAAAAUUAGCCAGGCAUGGUGGCGGGCACCUGUAGUCUCAGCUAGUCGGGAGGCUGAGGCAGGAGAAUGGUGUGAACCCAGGAGGCGGAGCUUGCAGUGAGCUGAGAUCUCGCCACUGCACUCCAGCCUGGGUGACAGAGCGAGACACAUCUCAAAAAAAAAAACCCAAAAAACUUUAAUCUGAAUCCAUUAUGUGUUGGGUUGGGUUGGGGAACCUACCAAAACAGUGGGAGAGUCUUGCCCUUUUUCUAAGAUCAUCAGUGGGCAUUUUCAGCUUCCCCAUUAUGGUAGUAGCUGCAAGGAGUGUUCAGUCUCCAGUGAAAGAAAUAUUAAGAUUUAUUCCCCCAAUUUCCCCUCCCCAGAGAGUAGCUACAGACACACUGUGUAAGACCAAAUAGGAAAAGUCUGCCACAGGGGACACAGUAGGUACUUGAAUACUUGUGGGCAGUCUAACCAGCUACAAACCUCUUGUUGCCGUACUUGCAAGUCCUAAUACAGUACUGUAGUUAUUAUAAUUCCAUCAUUCUGAAAUUAGAAAGAUGGUCAUGGAGAAACUGUUCUAAGAACGCCAUUCACCCAUGAAUGUGACUUUAUUAGAGGUUUUUUUUUUAGGUUAAGGACUAUGUAUUCUUUCAAUUUCUCUAAAGUGCUUAGCACACACUCUGCCCAUGGUAAGUGUUAAAUAAACUUUCUGAUAAACCAAUGAUUGGGUAGCAUGAUGAAACUUUUCCUAUCCUGCUUUUUGAGAUUAAGAAAUCUUUUAAAAAUAUUACAGAAACUGCACUUUAUCCUGACUUACAGCCUUAAUGUUUGAAGUAGCAGUGUAUAAAAUUCACACCCAGUUAUAGACUGAGUAAUUAUAGUUGCUAUGGUAAUGGGCUCUGUGCCUAUGAGCAAAAAAAAAAAAUUCCUUUUGUGCAAGAUAUUUAUGACUGUGCCUGGCUACAUGGCAAUAGUAUUUUCCUUUGGUUUUUCAUUACAGUAACUUAUGCAUUUAGGCAGAUGAUCCUUUAUAUAUGUAAACGCUAUAAAUUCUUAGGAAGAAAAUAAAUUUAUUAAGUUUUUCACAUCAAAAAUUUCUAGUAUGAUUAUGAGUUCAAUUUUCAAGUGAAAGUAAUCCUUAAAGGAUUUAAUUUCAAAUAAGAACUACGUACAAAAUAUAGAUUUAAAUUAAUUUUCACUGUAUGAAAUGUACAGUAUACAUAGACCAACUCCUUUAACAAGAAUUUCUGGUAUGUCUUAAAGGGCAUGGGUGGUUAGAGGGAGAUCCCCAAACAAACAAUUCAAAAUUAAGAGUUUAAAAAGCAACAAUCAAGACACAUAUCCUCCUAAGUGAAUUUGAAUUAGACACUGGAAAAUUUAAAAAGGUCAGUUACUAUGAAGAAGGUGUAACAAUAUUUAUAUUAAUCAGACAGCAAAGUAACAAACUGACUUAGAGGAAGGAAAAUAGUAAAAUACAAAAGACUAAGUUAGCAGAUCAUUUUGAUAUCCAGAUGUGCUGAAAUGAUGGACACUGAGAAGAAAGAAUAGACAAAACUUGGCAACAGAUCUUGGUAUGAAAUAAAUAUCCCAUGAGUAGUACAUAAAAGCCUGGAGAGAGAGGGGAAGGAUUGUAAGUGUCAUAGUUCUGACAGCUGCUCUUUCAUCCUAUGCCUUUAAAACAAAGGGAACAAAGAAGGGAACAAAGAAGGUAGAAGCGGGGGUAUGGAGGGUUGACUUCUGGCUGUCCCUCCCUGUUUCCCUUUGUUAAUAUAUUGCUAGUAGACAUGUCUACUUCUGGUUGCUGAUGACAUAAAAUUCACCUCUAUUUCUUGGAAGCACUAUUCCAUGUUGUGAGCUAAAGGGGAUUGUACUGAUCUUGAAGAUAACAAAUCUGCCUGCUUCAAAGGUUUCACCGAUUUUAUUGCUGUGUUUCCAACACAUUUCCACAUAUGGUAUGAUAUUUAAUUUGCAAAAUAAAUCCGUAAAGCAGGAAUUACUAACCUAAUUUUGCAGAUGAGAAAACUGAGGCUUAAAGUUGUUCAAGGUCAAAGUCACGAUGUCCAUCAUGCUGUAGCUCAAUGAAUGAGUCUCACAUUGUUUCAUGUUGUUUUAUUUCUACUUUCUCAAUCCAUGUACAAGAUAGAUUUACAAACUACUGUUUUAUGUUGGUUGUAUGAAUUUCAAUACAUUUACUGUUAGAAAUAACAAAAGGUCUUAGACUGCCAGAUGCUGUUCCCAUCAACUCUACUUAAUUCAUAAUAUAGCUGAACUCUGUCAUAAAUCUAAUAACGAUGUGGACAUUAGCCAGAAGUAUGAUGUGGCUGAACCUCACCACUGAACACAAAAUGAGAAUUCACCUCAUCUUUUCAUUUGAAUUUAUUUCUACUAAAAUAUAUGUAUUAUUUUUCUUGAUUUCUAACCAGGCCCCUUCUGAAGAAAACUGGUUAACUCUAAAUUGUUACUAAAUUUUGAAUCUUCCUGUAUUUAGCAAUAAAAGUUACUGCUAAUUGUAAUAACAAUUAUGAGGAAAAAUUUAUUUAAAUGCUUCAUAGAAAGUUAAUUUUCAUUUAAUAGAAAAGAAAUAAAAAAUCUGCUUCAGACUGUUUGAUUUCUCUAUUAGGCAAUUGACCCUAACUAGUAUAUGGUGAUUUUGAGUAUUAAAAAAGAAGUUAUAAUUUUCCAGAAUAUUAAUGUUUAUUAUUUUGAAAGCAAGUAAAAUUCUCCAGUAGGAAGAUUAAUAAAACAAUUCAUUAAAAUUCUCAUCAGAAAAUCCUAUGCUUUCAAAUGUAUCUGCUCAAAGAUGUCACUCUAUGUGCGGCAAAGCUUUGUUUUACUUGAUCAAGAAAUGAAUGUGACUUUAUGAUCUUGUAUUCAACUGUGAACAGCUGCUCAUUAAUAAAAAGCCAUUAAAGUCCAA
Molecule: long non-coding RNA, 3298 nt
Filed under: Homo sapiens (human)
Lineage: Eukaryota; Metazoa; Chordata; Mammalia; Primates; Hominidae
Description: long non-coding RNA NONHSAT255333
Source: RNAcentral